CCCUUUGUGUACCCACCUCUGUUGCUUUGGCGGGCCGCGGUCCUCCGCGGCCGCCCUCCGUCCGGGGGGUGGCCAGCGCCCGCCAGAGGACCAUCAAACUCCGGUCAGUGAACGUUGCCGUCUGAAAAACAAUCAAUAAACUAAAACUUUCAACAACGGAUCUCUUGGUUCUGGCAUCGAUGAAGAACGCAGCGAAAUGCGAUAAGUAAUGUGAAUUGCAGAAUUCAGUGAAUCAUCGAAUCUUUGAACGCACAUUGCGCCCCUCGGUAUUCCGAGGGGCAUGCCUGUUCGAGCGUCAUUACAACCCUCAAGCUCUGCUUGGUGUUGGGCACCGCCCUUCCGCGGGCGCGCCUCAAAGACCUCGGCGGUGGCGUCUUGCCUCGAGCGUAGUAGAAAACACCUCGCUUUGGAGCGCACGGCGCCGCCCGCCGGACGAACCUUUUGAACUUUCUCAAGGUUGACCUCGGAUCAGGUAGG
This 477-nucleotide ribosomal RNA is filed under the name Neoscytalidium dimidiatum. RNAcentral's name for it is "eukaryotic LSU rRNA". The stretch from base 145 to 298 matches the Rfam family "5.8S ribosomal RNA". Lineage: Eukaryota; Fungi; Ascomycota; Dothideomycetes; Botryosphaeriales; Botryosphaeriaceae. The record is from RNAcentral.